Molecule: ribosomal RNA, 212 nt
Filed under: uncultured bacterium
Lineage: Bacteria
Description: partial 16S ribosomal RNA
Rfam family: Bacterial small subunit ribosomal RNA
Source: RNAcentral
GACAGAGGGUGCAAACGUUGUUCGGAAUUACUGGCGUAAAGCGCGUGUAGGCUGCUUCGCAAGUCGGAUGUGAAAGCCCUGGGCUCAACCCAGGAAGUGCAUUCGAAACUGCAGAGCUGGAGUCCUGGAGAGAAGGCGGAAUCUCGGUGUAGAGGUGAAAUUCGUAGAUAUCGAGAGGAACACCGGUGGCGAAGGCGGCCCUUCUGGACAGU